AUGGGGAAGUGAGGCUUUGUUUGAAUCUUAAAUAGUCCUUUGAUGUGUUUUCCACUUAUUUUUCUCUAUUAACUCAUAAAUUUUUCUUCAUAGAUUAUUUUCAUAUUUGAACAAUUGAUUUUCUUCUAACAGGUGAAUGAAGUAAAUAUGAAACUCUGAGGGUCCCUAAGUAAAGAGCUAUUAUGGGGAGCAGGCUGUAAAAGGGAGCAGCCAUCUUUUUACUCUGCUGAUUAAAGGACAUAAUGCUACCAAAUGCUGCUGCAGGAAUUAUACUUUCCCAAAUCAAUAAGUGUGUUUUUCCCACACCCUUGAAACUUAGGAUUUUUAACUUCUUAUUUACACAACACAGGAGUUUAACCUUCUGCACUACCAUUCCACAUCAGGAAAACAAAUAGUGAAAUAUCCUCUGCUAUGAUAAAAAUCAGUAAUUUCCUAGCCCAUUUUGUACUAAUGCUAUAAGCAGGGAAGUAGAUUAAAAAUAAUUAAAAAUAAACAAAAGAAAAGCCAAACACAACAACCAACAAACUUGGAGUUUAAAAUGUAAAGGUAAAAACAGCAUUGUAAUUUAAUAAUGGUUUUGUUCACUUUUUAGACAAUAAUUAGUUCUUGAUAAAGGGUAAAGACAAAUUCUUUCAGUACUUAUAGAACUGCAACUAAAUGGCUAUGGAGUGGAAGACAAAUAAGGUGUUGAGACUGCAUGGAAUCACAAGUCCUCUGUUGCAGCCAGAGGAGUAGUCAGCAUACCUCAGAAGCCACAAGAACCUAGAGGAGAACCUCUACCUCAGACUUUCUUUUUAAUUUUUCAGAAACUUAUCUACAACUGCACCUUCUAAUUAAUAUGCUCCCAGACAACAGUGACCUUCUGCUCAUGAUAAACCCUCUCCAAUAUAUGGAUUUUUCUCCCAGAACUUUGAAUCUGUGCAAGAAGUUCUACUGUGUGAGGAAACCACCAUAGAAUCAUGUGAGGCUGGGAGCAGUAACAAACACUAUCAACUCUAAAGUAAUACCUUAAGACUCACUUUUUGUGUGCAAACCCAGACCUUCUUGUUUCAGAACAUCACUGUAUAUCUUUUCUGUUCUUUUCUUCUAGGAGAAAUUCCUUUCUGUUUUUUUUGGGCACAGGCACAAAUUUGUUCACAGAAAAAUAAUUAAAAAAAUUGUUUUCAGAAAAAUAAACCAGGGAUCAGUUUGAAAAUUUGUUCUGAAAUAAGGCUAAAAAUUGAGAGGGGGUAGGAAGGAGAAAGGCAUAGAAGAGGUACCUUUGGCCAUGUGAGGAGAGGCAAAGACCAGAGGUCUGUUCACUCUCCGAACUUGGCAGCUGAAGUCUCUCCCUCUGCCUCUCUGUGUCUCUUUGUUUGUCUGUCUCUCUGCAGUACAUGGUGUCUAAGAGAGUGCCCAAGCUAAGAUAGUCUGCUGCCAAUAAGUCCCUGAUAGAUCAUAUUAGUGUAGACAAAAUGCCACAUGAGUGGCUGCUUAAUUAGCCAGGCAAAAGAAAUAGAUUCACAGCCACAUGCCUGGAAAAGCAAUGCUUGCUUACUUUGACAAAAAUACUGCAGCAAGGUAAACACCAGGGAGAGAAAAUUAGCAUGCCUCAAGAACAAUAUUGGCACAACAAACACCAAUAAGCAGAUUUAGAAAGAAGAAUGAAGCUAGAGAUGAGACAAGUUUUCCGAUUACCUUCAAACAGAGAAGCAUCCCUGCUCCAGAGGGUCUACUCUUUUCAAGGUGAAGCUUGCUGUAUGGGAUCAUAUGAAGUCUGUGACAAUGGCAAACUGGACAAGAUGCUGGAAUAAAAGAACCUAUCCUUGGGAAAGAAACUACAGGUGAAAACCUGGUUCCACUGAGACCAAAGUUUUUUCACAGAUCCCAUAAAGAGCAAGCUGUGCAAUGCUGUCUCUCCACAACUAAUUGGGAAUUUCUGAACCAUGGGAAAAAAGUUGUUCAAGACAGAAGAUCAGUCUAAUGAAAAGCUCCAUUGCAACUACAGAAGCAGUCUGAGAGGCUUGUUUUUCUUCAGACCAUCACCACCAAUUGAAUUCUCAUAGAAAAUAUUUUAAAAGGACUCCUUCAAAGAAAUCAUUCACCAGCAUGCAGAAAAAAAAUCAUGUCUUCUGUUGCUUUUAUGUUGCAAAGGACUAGCUCUUACAACUUCUGAGAAACCGAAGUAGUGUUCUCAAUGUUGGAUGUCAUUUUAACUACCAAUCAGGGACCACCAUCGCCAGAGGUGCAGCAGGAGAGCUUCUGAUGUAAUGGUGAGGCCUAUCCAGGUCUCCAACACCUCCUUCCCACCCCAAGAUUAGGAUAGUCUUGUAAAAGCCCUGUCUCAGUAGAAACCUCUGUGAUCUCAUGCAAGGUAUGACAUUUAUCAACUUCAGAAGGAAGAUUUUUUCAAAUCAUGAUUGAAUGAAGACAAGCUUGACACUUGAUCAUACCAUAUGGCAAGUGGGAAUGAAAAGAAAAAACAACCAGGGCAACUCUUUGGAUUUCAAUAUGGGUUUGAAGAGAUACUGCAUGAGAAAAGAGAGGAAAGAGGAAAAAGCAGCUACUUUGUCAUAUCUUUUUCAGUGUGUCUCACUACCAGCCUACCGAAAGGUUACACAAGCCAUAGUCAGAUCCUCACCUGAUAUCUGUCUCUUUUUGCUGACUUAAGAAUUCUGAACAUCUUCCACACUGAUCAAACUUUUGUCACUGUUUUUCCCUCAGUUGUAUAGAACAACUCAAUUGGCUUCUAUGGAGUUACUCCAGUUUACAUGAGAUGAGAAGUUAACCAAGAAUACCCACAUUAUUAUGAGAACAGAAAUUAAUCUCUUAAAACUUAAUUGGAGUAGCGUCAGAUAUCUGUCUUUUAACAUUAAUGUGGCAACAGUCAGAUAAAUGUCAGUGUGCUAAAAGUCCAAACAAUACUAUUUCUUCAGACUGAUUGAUCUACCUUUUCAGAUGCUUGCAUUGACCAUCAGUGUCUAGACUGUGGUAAAUGUUAAUAGAAAUACACCAAUGUAACUCACUGUUAAUUUUGUUGACUUGGAGGUAGAAGUUUUCGAGGUUCUCACUGACGAUUGGAAUGCUCUUCAGCUGAUUGAAGGAGAGAUCCAACUCAACCAGUGAUGUGAUAUUGAAGGCAUUGCCUGGUAUUCCAGAAUCUGUUAAUUUAUUGUGGGAUAAAC
This is a long non-coding RNA of Columba livia (rock pigeon), 3164 nucleotides long. RefSeq lists it as uncharacterized. The record is from RefSeq and is a predicted model, not a curated record. NCBI's taxonomy places the organism in Eukaryota, Metazoa, Chordata, Aves, Columbiformes, Columbidae. The transcript has 5 exons.